UACGUAGGGUGCGAGCGUUAAUCGGAAUUACGGGGCGUAAAGGGUGUGUAGGCGGUUGUUUAAGUUUGGUGUGAAAUCUCCCGGCUCAACUGGGAGGGUGCGCCGAAUACUGAAUGACUUGGAGUGCGGGAGAGGAAAGUGGAAUUCCUGGUGUAGCGGUGAAAUGCGCAGAUAUCAGGAGGAACACCGAUUGCGAAGGCAGCUCGCUGGGACGUAACUGACGCUGAGACGCGAAAGCGUGGGGAGCAAACAGG
RNAcentral lists this ribosomal RNA (254 nucleotides) under uncultured bacterium. Its description in RNAcentral is "partial 16S ribosomal RNA". It matches the Rfam family "Bacterial small subunit ribosomal RNA", at positions 524 to 776 of the family's 1533-position model. The record is from RNAcentral.